RNAcentral lists this long non-coding RNA (2126 nucleotides) under Junco hyemalis (dark-eyed junco). RNAcentral describes it as "lncRNA (ENSJHYG00000012561.1)". The record is from RNAcentral. Lineage: Eukaryota; Metazoa; Chordata; Aves; Passeriformes; Passerellidae.
AUAAGUUAUACCAGCAAGAGCUGUAUCUCCAGUACGAGUUUGUCAGAAAAUCCUUCCCAGGGUAGGCAGAGCCAGCAAUAUUAAAAGGCAAUAAUAUAGCCCAGCUGUAGGAAGCCUGUUUUCAUGGGGAGAAAUAUUUUCCUGUGACAAGUCUCAAGCAGUUAAGCUCCAGAGAGCUUCACAGUACAGGCAGAAGCUUUGUACAUUCCUAUAUGAAUAUGUAUUUAAUUAUGGCUCCAGUGCUGAGCACAUUUACAUAAAUAAAGAGGAGAAAUAGAAAGCAGGAGAGGAGGGAGGGGAAAGGUCUGGUUUUCACCUGUCUCCCCUGAUAGCAGCCCUGACUCCUCACCAUUCUAGGGAGGACAUGGAGCCAUGCUUGGACAUUACAGCCUGCCCAUCUGCUGCCAGCAGGUGGGAUCAGCCUCCUCAGCCCCAUGGGCCUUGCUUAGGGAUUAUUAGACAUGGAACCAUGGUCAGACAAUCACAAACCAGUAUGACAGAGAGAUGUUGAAGAGCAGCAGAAGAAGAGGCUGGUUGCUGGGAGAUUUUAUGAAGCCAUCUGCAGAGCCAUGGACGUUGAGAAGGAGAAAAAAGAGCCACAGAAAACCCUUAUUUUCCAAGCAUUUACAUCGGGGGAAGCAGCCUUCAGGCCAUCAGAGCUUUCUUCUGACUGGCUCUGGGCACAGAGGAGAACUACCAGCAAGAAGAAUGGUGUUAACUCAGGGAUUGCCUGAGACAUCCCUCCAAGUCCAUGAGACUCAACAUUGUACCCAAGAGUGCCACAAGAGUUGGCCCAUGUCCUUGCACCAUCACUCUCUAAUAUUUUCCAGAGACUGUGGAGGUCCAGGGAUUUCCCUGACAGCUAAAGACAAACAUGAGGAUCCCCCAUACCUACAGAAAGGGAGUUGGGGACUUCACUGCUCUGUGUUGCAGGAAAACUUGACACACCAUGCAUAAACUGAAACAAGAGAGAUCAGAUUAGAUGCAAGGAGGGGAAAAUAUCCAUAAGGACAGUCCAGCAGUGGAGCAGGCAGCCCAGGAGGCUCUGCAGGCUCCAUCCUGGGAGGUUUCAAACCCCAACCAGACACAGCCCUGAGCAGCCUGGUCUGGUCUGGUCUGGUCUGGGGGUGACCCUGCUCAGAGCCUCUCAGGUCAUGCCCAGCCUGAAUUGUGCUAUGUUCCCAUGCUGAGUUGCAUUGGAUAGCAAUGGUAGGAAAUUAAAAACACAGAAAUAUAAUCCUGCUGUUGACACAAAUAACCCCAAAUCUCCAGACUGCUAUCAUACUCUGUCUGCUCUGACUUAUGCAGGAAUCCAGACUAACUCUGAUCUAUCCUAAAUACUCUUCUGCCAGUCUGAAUGCUUGGGGCUGCUACUACUGAGAAAAUAGACAGAUGUGUACAAAGCAAGUGCAAAGGCUGGAUUUUUCUAUGGGGAACCAGUCACCAUCACCUCCACUCCUUUUCCAGCUCUCUUUCUCUCCUCUCCCUCUCUCAUUGGUCCUGCAGUAAAUACCCAAACCUGAAAACAAACUCCAGGACUCAUCUUAGAGGCUCCGUGUCCCACAUCUCUCUGUUUCCUCCACUCCUAAACCAGGAGGGACAUCUGCCAGAGUCUCCAGGGGGGUAACAUCAGUGCCCUCCAGCAACUGCAAGUUGAGCAGCCUAAUGACAUUAAAACUCCUUUCACCCUCCUUCCUAGCUGGGGCUAAGCACAGCUCAGUGAGCCAUCAGGAGCAGCAACCUCAUCAUGAGCAGAGAGGUGGCCAGAGAGAUGAUUUUGAGGGAAGGCUACAGUAACCUCAAGCUCAGAAAAGAUGCUUGAACUCCCCUUUUAAGUGGUCAUGGAAGCUAUUUUCAUCUUCAGCUGCUGCAGAUUUGUUCCUGGGAUGGUGGCUGCACCGAGUGGCUGACACAGACCUGAGAAUCAAUCAAAAGUAAUUGAAACAGAAGAGGCUCAGCAAUCAACCUAUUAGGUUGCUGGAGCCAGAAAAAUGCUGCUAUGAGGAGCCAGAGUAAGGGGAACAGACUUCCCUUCUGAAAACUUAAUGUGAGGAAGGAGCUUCGGCUGCGCUGUCUUUUCUUACAAGCAGAAUAAAAAUCUGUGGAAUUCUCUUUCUGUGGAGUUU